RNAcentral lists this ribosomal RNA (490 nucleotides) under uncultured bacterium. RNAcentral's name for it is "partial 16S ribosomal RNA". It matches the Rfam family "Bacterial small subunit ribosomal RNA", at positions 29 to 507 of the family's 1533-position model. The record is from RNAcentral.
AGUGAACGCUGGCGGCAGGCCUAACACAUGCAAGUCGAACGGCAGCACAAGACAGCUUGCUCUCUGGGUGGCGAGUGGCGGACGGGAGAGGAAUGCAUCUGAAUCUGCGCAUUUGUUGGGGAUCACCUCGGGAAACCGGGACUAAUACCGCAUACGACCUACGGGUGAAAGCAGGGGAUAUCCGGCCCUUGCGCAUAUGCCUGAGCCGAUGCCGCAUUAGCUAGUGGGAGGGGUAAAGGCCCACCAAGGCGACGAUCCGUAGCUGGUCUGAGAGGAUGAUCAGCCACACUGGAACUGAGACACGGCCCAGACUCCUACGGGAGGCAGCAGUGGGGAAUAUUGGACAAUGGGCGCAAGCCUGAUCCAGCCAUGCCGCGUGUGUGAAGAAGGCCUUCGGGUUGUAAAGCACUUUUGUUGGGAAAGAAGAGCAGCCAGUUAAUACCCGGUUGUCAUGACGGUACCCAAAGAAUAAGCACCGGCUAACUUCGUG